Chelonia mydas (Green sea turtle) is the source of this 1693-nucleotide long non-coding RNA. RefSeq lists it as uncharacterized. The transcript has 3 exons. NCBI's taxonomy places the organism in Eukaryota, Metazoa, Chordata, Testudines, Cheloniidae. The record is from RefSeq and is a predicted model, not a curated record.
GUUGUUCUCUGGGCUGCAGGGGUGAAGCAGCAAUGCAGUAAGCAGCUUUAAACCAGGCCCUCACCUUCUGUACUUGGCGUGACAGAGUGGGGAUUCAGCCCUGACAAUAUGGAAGAGUAACAUCAAAAGCACAUGAAGGAGUACUACAAGCAAAGGAUUAAAGGGAACAAUAACAGUUUAAUAAGCAAGAGGAUGAAAAUGAAAAGUGCAGAUAAGUCCGAGGUAUGCAGCAAGAAGGGCUGAAACAGCUGGGACUGUUGUGGGUGGAAUGAUUUUCUUUUUGCAGCUGAUGUAUAAAUCCUAAGAGGGUCGCCCUGGAAACCUUAACACUAUGAAGGGUCUCAUUUGUCUUAUUGGGGAAGAACCAGCGGCCUUCAAAUGAGAGGUCUUGAAUCAUUUGUUGCCUCCCAGGGAAGACCUGACAACUGCAGCCAAGAUGAACACUGCACAGUGAUGGCAGAAGCCAGAACUUGAGCCCAUAAAGUCCACCACAUCCAAGCUCGCUUGCAGUGCUGUUUUGGCAACAAAUUUGCACUCAUCUACCAUAGCAGUGAACUCCUUCUUUGCCUGAUCAGGGAGCUUGGCUUUGAACUUCAGGAUAUUAUCCCACAGACUUAAAUCCUAUCAACCCAGCAGAGUCAGCUGGUUCAUGAUCACAAGCUGUAAACUCCCUGUGGAAUAAGCCUUCCUGCUGAAUAAGUCUGCUUUUUUUUGCUUUUUUUGGGGGGGGUAGAGACCUGGUGUCCCUGUCUCUUUUUUUCAUUAGCAGCAGUGACUAUCAGGGAGCCUGGAGGAGCAUGGUUAUAGAAGUGCUCAAAUCCCUGUGAAGGGACAUAAUAUCUUCUCUCCACCUUUUAGCAGUGGGAGGCAAUGGGCAGGCACGCCGCUGGGCUGCUGGGCAUGCUCAGGUCAGGAUACAUAUCAUCCAACCUCAGAGGCUGAUGAGGAGUCUACUUCCUCAGACCAUGGUGGAGAUGGCCCCUUUGUACCAGGGAGACUAGCUCAGAGCCCAUCACUGCCUCUUUGGGUGUACAAACUGGACACUUUUCUAUAGCCUCAAUAUCCUCUAGAGACUUUUGGGGGAACAAAGUAUAGCUCAUUCCUAGCAAGGCGCAUCUUAAGAAAAUUGGGGUGCCCCCUUCUUUGGUUAGAGUUAGGAGAACGUAUUUAAUUUAAAAUGGAAAAAGAAUAGAUCCCUCCAGAGGCGCGUAACCAAUGGCUGGCACUGCUUGCUUCUGAGACAGGGCUACUUGGCUGUGGCAGCUUUGCAUUGCCACACCCCACCCUGGGUUAGUCUGUCACUAUAAACUGAGCUCUGUGCCCUGCAUCUGCCAACAGAAACAAACCCGUGGGUAGUGGUACAAGCACCAAGGGAGGAUGUGGAAUCACUAAUACCAGCUGUGAUGAUUUGGCACUGCUUGUCAUAAUUUAUGAAUAUUGUGUGGGGUUUUUGUGAUGUUUGCUGCAUGCAUAUAUUGUGGUAAUUCAGUUACAGGAUUGUCAGGAAAUGCACCCAGGAAGGGGAAGGUGAACCCUGAUGUACAUUUCUCAGCACACAUUUGUGAGACAAUGCAAGAGCUAUUUGUUUUGAUGCUCUGGUGCAACCUCCUGCUGGUUUGCCAGACAGGUUUCCCCCAGGAAUAAAUUGGUGUCUGUGAAGGGGUCAAAAGACUCAAGAGACACACACUCCCUC